RNAcentral lists this long non-coding RNA (9102 nucleotides) under Zea mays. Its description in RNAcentral is "long non-coding RNA (ZMAY_LNC000124)". The record is from RNAcentral. Lineage: Eukaryota; Viridiplantae; Streptophyta; Magnoliopsida; Poales; Poaceae.
UCUCGCGCACUCACUCCCACUGGCAGCGUGGCCCCGCUUGUCAGCUGCUUCGUCGUCCUCCCGCCGUCCCUUCAUCACGGUCACCUCCGGCCAUCGCCUCCGUCCCCUCCUCCGUCUUCUCGCCGCACAGGGAAGUUUGACACCGCUCCGUCCUCCCCCCUUGACCAGCGUCCUCACCGGUACCGCCCCGCCGUGAUGUCCCCUCGGUGGCGCUGUGCGGCAUUUAUUGUAACACUCCAGGUUCCACAAACAACCCGGUAUGCUACUGUACUACACUUCCGACGUCCAUAUAUAAAAUUUCGGCAGCAUCCCCUUUGCAAGAUUGCAUAAAAGAGGGAGCAACAGAGUAUAAACAUAUAUCAUGACUAAAACAUACUAAGUAUUAUUACUCGGCUAGCAAGGAAAGAUAAACAUACGACCUGAACUGAAUUAACCAGUGCGCACGACCAUAUAAAAAAAAUAAACAAACUUCCUUUGACAAUAAGUUUCUAAUUAAAUCAUGGCUGCGCCUGGGCAGCGUUAUUGUGAGAGUGAAAGUGGACGUGCUGCUACUCCCCUCAUUCCCAACAUGUAUCAAGUACCUGCAUUGAGUAAUGCAAGAGUGAGAUGACACAUCUCAGCAAGUAAAAUAAUAUCAAACAGUUUAACCACAUAAGAACAUUGUUUUACCACCACUUAAUUCCACAACCUUCUUAUUACGAAGGUGCAGCACGUAUACAACGUACAACGCACCUAGUUACCACACCUCGCAGGUAGAAACCACAAUAGUAACAUAGUAAUGUCACACUUCAUAUAUUCCUCAUGAGUGCAAAUGUCUGCAAAUGCAAGGAUGACUUCUGCCUUCAUACCUCUAAGGAUAUGAAGCCGCAUCGUACCCCUCCUCGGGCAACGUACGAUGCUAAAAAUGUACCGGUACGGUCGGACCAUAAGAUCACGACAUAACUUCAAAAUGCAAGAUGGAUGAUGCGAUGUGCAUGUCAUGCCUACAACACUUCAUAUAACAUGAUUCAAAAAGACACUUCAACUUCAUCCAGAUGGGAAUCAACCCAUAUAUCAUUACCAAAUUAUGAUCAUCCACAAUAUUAGACAAUUGAGAAUUAAUACUUCCAAACAAAUAAACUUCAUCAUAGAAUUCAAUGAUUAACAUAAUUAAAACUUAUGCAUACUCAAUGACAGGGAAUAGGAUGCAAACCAAACGGUAGCAACCACCACUGUAUUUACUUGCCUUUACCGGAAGUUCGGGCAAAUCCCAUGUACGAUCCGGAAGCCCACCACCUGUUUUUGACACCCAACUUAGUACACCAAUUUCACAUAAUCAGGCUCAUAAGCGACGCCGCACCUACGCACAAACUCAAACCCCGCUGCGGGUUACAUCUCUCCCUACACCCACCAAACUGCAGCGGCGCUGCUUAAUAAUUUCAUAACUUUAAAAUUAUGACAGCAGUGGUAACAAACAAAAACUCUAGAGGCAUCUACAUAAAAUUCCCCACAAGUUUUGUAUACAAUUUAUAAUUAAAUUCCAAUAUCUAAUUAGCCCAAAACAGUCCACAAGAUGAACCCUGUAAUCUGUUUUUCUUUGUCUUUUGGACAGCGACAUACCCAGAUUCAAACAGCGAUAUCUUUUAAAAUAUAAUUCCAAAUCAAGCGCAUAAGUACUCAUUGGAAAGAUAAGACAAAUCUCUACAUGAUUACCGUACUGGUUAACACUAAUUACCCACGAAAAAUUCCCAGAAACUGCUAAUACCACUGCUGUUCACCCACCUGAAAAAUCUGUUUUUUUGGACAGCAACAUAACCGGAUUCAAACAACGAUAUCUCCUGAAUUAUAACUCCGAAUCGAGCGCAUAAGUACUUGUUGGAAAGAUAACAUAAAGCCCUACAUGAUUCUCAUACUAAUUAACACUAAUUACUCCCGAAAAAUCCCCAGAAACUGCUAAUACUGCUGCUGUUCAUCCCCCUGAAAAAUCUGUUUUUUUGGACAGCCACACCCGGAUUCAAACGGUGAUAACUUUCAAUUUAUAACUCCAAAUUGAGCGCAUAAAUACUCGUUGGAAAGGUAAGGUAAAGUUCUACAUGAUCCCCAAACUGAUUUCCCUUAAUUCCGCACGAAAAAACACAGAAACUGCUAGACUACUGCUGUUCACCCACCACCUAAAAUUCUGGACAGCCCCCCUCUACCCCAAUCGCAAACGCAACCUCUAAUCAAUUAAAUUGCAGCGCAAAUGAACAAGGGAUGAACACAAAAAUCACCUUGGAUUCUCCCCCUUUCCUUCCUCCCUUCUUCCCUCCACCAAAACGAUUGAAGACUCACACCACAACGACGAUGAUCCGAGCGGCAAGGAUUGGCACCUUGGGAGGAGGGGAUUGAGAGGGGGGGGCGGCUAGGGUUUGGUGGCUGCAAGAAUUGAGAGAGGAGGAGAUGGGCACGGGGGGCGGCGGCCAAGGGGGAAGAGAAGUGGGGGGGGGGCUGCACAUGGGGGGAGGGGGUUAGGAGGGAGGCGGCUAGGGUUUGGGAGGGUUAAUGGGCCGAAACUCCAAUUGCGGCCCAACUAACCCACGCGACAGCUUCCGACCGCAACGCAAGCGUCAAACCAAAUAAAUUCUACUGCCCUAGUUGUGAAUGUUUUCCACAAAAUCCCAAAUCCCCAAAACAACAACCGGAUGAGGAAAAAAACAAAAAGAACAACCCCCAACUUCUCUUCUUUGCAAACCGGGUAUCACACUCUACCCCUCUUAAAAAGAAUUCGACCUCGAAUUCUGACGCUUCUAUCGGAACAACAAAAGAAAGGUUAAUGAAUCAACAAAACUCACACAUAAAGAAAAGUUCGAGUACUUCUGUCGUAUCAGCUCCUCAAGCUCCUAGGAUUCUAAGAUACGCAGCAGACGACACUCUAGAGUCUGCUCUUGCUACACAGGAAUCGGCUCUAGCUCGAUUUGAUGGUCUGGAUUCCGCAAAUACUUCCUCAACAAAAAGACAUGGAAUACUUGGUGUACUCUGAUCACAGAUUCCGACAAUUACAUGUGCUAAGCCCAGCUGCCAACUCGGCCAAGAUAGCAGACGGUCCUAUAUACAUCGGACCAAGCUUUCCUGACACCAAAUCAAUCAUUGACAUAUGCAAGUACUUCAAGGAAUGUAUAUAUGAAUGCAAGGCAUAUAAUGUUCCUAUAGGCUAAACCAAACUUAGCCACACAAGAGCAACUUCAAGAGAGCAACUUAAUGCUUGCAUAUUUCUAGAUAGCAGCACAACGGUUAAUUGUUUUGCUCCUAACUCACAAAAAUAUGCAUCGAAAAUUAGUAAACUAGGACUUUAUGGAAAACUUAUAAAGUCCACUAUACCCUUGGUAUUAUCAUCACAACAAGAUUUGACACUUAGAAAGGUCAAACAGUGCUAAACGUAAAUUCUGUCCAGACUUGGACAUAAUUCAACUACUCAAUUCAAAAAUCCAUAAUUGGAGUCUCAAUCAUCCAAUUCAGGUGCUCCCAUACUUUUUAGAAAGCUAGUAGAAUUGUCUAUAAUUCAUUUAUAAACAUAUCAAGUUAAUUCAAUGCAUAUUAAGGUCAAAAGACACGAGAAAGACUCUGCUGUCCAAAUUUGGACAGAUUCAGAGAUCACACUUAAAACAGUUGUAACUUAACUUAUAGAUCUCCAAAAAAAAAUUAAUCCAAAAUUUGUUGUAACGAUUAAGAAAAGUACUACAACUUAUUUAUAAUUUAUAAUAAGUUAUUCGAAGUUUAAAUUGGGCAAACAAGGUCAGCUUCGAAAUCUGUAUAGAAUCUGCACAGAUUUCAAGACUGGACUUGAGAAAAUCAUAACUCCCAAACUACUAGACCUAUGGUCAUGAAAUUUUUACACAAGUAAGAUAAAUAAGUUGGCUACAACUUUUAUAUAUAACAUCUCUACAGAAAAGAUGGUUUACUUCACUGAACUAGCUGCAUAACUAAAACUGGUCAUGCAGUCCCAAUAGCAAGCAAUAGAUUUUAUCAGGUUCAUUACUCUUCUAAGAUUAAGCGUUCAUUGAAAGACUAAUAACUUUAGGUUCUUCAUUACGAGACACCUAGAACAAAUAUAAGUAUAGAAGCAAUAUGAUAACUUUUUAAAUCAUUUAAGCCUAAUCUCACAUCAUGCAAACAAGAAUCAAUUUAAGCAUGUUAUGUCUGCCCACAUAUUCAUCCAAGCACAUUCUAUACAUGAUAUCAUAACUCCCUGCAGCUAACAAAAUUUUGCAAAUAUAAACUCACUGAAAAGAUUAUAACAUUCCCUAGAACUUUUAUUAUAAUGAGUGUAUCGGAAUUGGUUUCCAAACCGAUAAAACAAUGCAACUCUUUUGUUUCAAAACUGAUAAGAUUGAAACAAUGGACAACUAAAAUUCAAAAACCUAUAACUCCUGCUAUACUCAACUUAAACUACAACGAACACGCGUUGGAAAAGUUUUGAAAAUUGUCCACGACUUUUGCAAUAAAGUUGCACCCAAAUUUAUCCUUAUAGCCCACAACUCUGCAUGACCUACAGCUAAACUCAGCCUGAGAUACUGCACAUUAGAGAUUCGACUUAUAUCCGGGCAACCACCUCUCCAAAUCUAUUUAACAGACAGUUACAAGUAAAUACCCAUUAAAAAGGUACUGAAAAUACCUACAAGUUUUGCUUAAAGAGAAUUCGCAAAUUUGUGCUCUGCAACUAUCAAAACGCGGUCGAUUUAUUGGUGAUUAUAACGACGCCUAAAGUUUAGACACAACAGUGCAACAACUUCAGAGCAACCUAACUCCAAUUAUAUGCAAUGAGAAUUAGAAACCCAUACUCUUUGAAAAGAUCAUGAAAUUACUAAAACUUUCAUAAUCCACAAAGACCAAAUUAUACCGUCUUCAAUGUCUACUCUUCCGUACAAAAUUAAAGACUCACUCUGCUAGAGACACCAACAAAGAUGUUUUAAGAAACCCAUAUCUCUCAAAUGUUUAGACCAAACAUGGUGAUUAAGCAUCCUAUGGAAAGAUGCAGAAACAUACUACAAAACAUUCUAGAUAAGUGAGCCUGAUUCAGCCUCCAACUAAUUUAAAAUGCCUCCCGAAACCAAACAACACAUUAUCAACAAUAAAAAAAACAAUAUAAAAUGAAACCCAAGUCAUUGGCAGGUGCCAUCAACACUAGGAUUUUCCACUACCAAACUGGGAUGCAACUCCACAAAGUCUUUAAAUAACACUCUACCAAAUAGGUUAGAACACUAAGCACAACAAUCAAUGAAUUCAACAACCUCGUUUGUUAAUGCCACUAAGGUCAAACAUCCAUGUACCAACAAUGUAUGAAACACCUGACAUACCCGUCUCCAGCUCUAUAAAACAUGGUUGUUAUUACACUAGAAUCCAACUACUAGAAAUCUCCAAAACUAUUCUGUUGACGUGAAGCAAAUGGUGCUCAUGUCAUAUAACAUCUUUUCCCCCUCUCAAAAGAGAUAAAAUUUGCAAUACUCAUAAAGCAAUGGAGGGAUAACAACAAGAAAAAACUAAUGUACUUCUUGACACAGACUCAUGCAAAAGCUUCAUAAAUAUUACUUUCAACACUAAAAUAAUAACACGAUACUAUGCUCAACAGGAGUAAUUGGACUUCAAUAAGAUAAUCCACCUAACCCAACUACUUUGAUUAACCUCACAUACAACAAUACCUCCUAUUAUUGCACUUGAACAAUUUGUACCUAGUGAUGUCAUAGGAUGAAUUCAAAGUAGUAGACAUACAUGAUCUAUCAAACCAUCAUUCAUAUAAUAAAAAUCUCCAUCUAAUGCAACAACCACAUCAUUAUAGAGAUAGAUGACUAACAAACAUAAGCAACUUCCAGUUAAACAUUGACUUUGUUUAAGAUAAAGCGGUCCAAAUAAUAAUUCCACAAGCAUGCAUAGAGAACUGAUCAUAUAAAAAAAACUACCAUGUAUCAUCGGCGAUUAAAACAAUAUAAAACGGGUUGUCCAUAUCGUCCGCAUGACUAGCCUCCAACAAAUAGAAAUUAUGCAUAACCUUUUUGGCUAUAGAAACAAACCAUAGAAGGAAAACAUGCAUGCCUCUUCAACUAUAAUAUAGACAUAAAAUCCACUUGAAAUCACCCUAUUUAUUAUUAAAGAUAAGGUUGCACACAAUAAGAAAACCUAUCGUGUAAACAUGGUUGGACUUAUCUACCCACGUCAUCUUGCAAAUUCACUUGAGUUCUUCUAGUCUCAAGAUUUCAUAGACAGUACAACAUUGCCUUUGCUCUAUGGAGACAAACCUAUUGUACUCUAAGAUCAAGUUGGCAAGUAGCCACACUAGCCAAAAAAAAGGUGAGGUGUAAAGCACUGCACCCAUGGAAAUAUUACAUUGAUAAGUUGGGUUGUAACCCAACAGUCAAUCCAACUCAACAACACCAUAAAACUUCAUUGUAUAGUGUUUUCACACUACACCAAGUCGGAUUAGAUCCUCUAUACACAAGCUCAAUAAACAAUCGGUCCUACAAGUACUAGAACCCAAGAAUCCUUUUGGGGAAAAAAACAUCCACAGUCAAGUAUAUAGAAAUAUAUGAUGGUAAUAGCUCAGAGAUUAGUAAACAUUGCAUCCCAAAAAACUUCAAGACGAUAUGUAUAUAAAACAAGUACAUUAGUAGCUUCACUCGCAUAAUAAUUUCAAUAACAAUCACAUCAAGAAACCAAUAUUAAAUAGAAGUAACAUUUCAUAUCAAGCAUUACGUCGUUAACGACAUACCUAAUCAAACCAUAAAGGGGUUUGGAGUAAGGAAAUUCUAGUCAUCUAUACAAUAAAAUACUAAUAUGAAAGAUAUAUGAACCCAUACCCUUCCUAUAUGUGCAAGUGUGUCAAAUUUAUCUUCAAAUUGCGUAGAAUCUAAAGCCUAUCCUCUGAUACCAACUGUAACACUCCAGGUUCCACAAACAACCCGGUAUGCUACUGUACUACACUUCCGACGUCCAUAUAUAAAAUUUCGGCAGCAUCCCCUUUGCAAGAUUGCAUAAAAGAGGGAGCAACAGAGUAUAAACAUAUAUCAUGACUAAAACAUACUAAGUAUUAUUACUCGGCUAGCAAGGAAAGAUAAACAUACGACCUGAACUGAAUUAACCAGUGCGCACGACCAUAUAAAAAAAAUAAACAAACUUCCUUUGACAAUAAGUUUCUAAUUAAAUCAUGGCUGCGCCUGGGCAGCGUUAUUGUGAGAGUGAAAGUGGACGUGCUGCUACUCCCCUCAUUCCCAACAUGUAUCAAGUACCUGCAUUGAGUAAUGCAAGAGUGAGAUGACACAUCUCAGCAAGUAAAAUAAUACCAAACAGUUUAACCACAUAAGAACAUUGUUUUACCACCACUUAAUUCCACAACCUUCUUAUUACGAAGGUGCAGCACGUAUACAACGUACAACGCACCUAGUUACCACACCUCGCAGGUAGAAACCACAAUAGUAACAUAGUAAUGUCACACUUCAUAUAUUCCUCAUGAGUGCAAAUGUCUGCAAAUGCAAGGAUGACUUCUGCCUUCAUACCUCUAAGGAUAUGAAGCCGCAUCGUACCCCUCCUCGGGCAACGUACGAUGCUAAAAAUGUACCGGUACGGUCGGACCAUAAGAUCACGACAUAACUUCAAAAUGCAAGAUGGAUGAUGCGAUGUGCAUGUCAUGCCUACAACACUUCAUAUAACAUGAUUCAAAAAGACACUUCAACUUCAUCCAGAUGGGAAUCAACCCCAUAUAUCAUUACCAAAUUAUGAUCAUCCACAAUAUUAGACAAUUGAGAAUUAAUACUUCCAAACAAAUAAACUUCAUCAUAGAAUUCAAUGAUUAACAUAAUUAAAACUUAUGCAUACUCAAUGACAGGGAAUAGGAUGCAAACCAAACGGUAGCAACCACCACUGUAUUUACUUGCCUUUACCGGAAGUUCGGGCAAAUCCCAUGUACGAUCCGGAAGCCCACCACCUGUUUUUGACACCCAACUUAGUACACCAAUUUCACAUAAUCAGGCUCAUAAGCGACGCCGCACCUACGCACAAACUCAAACCCCGCCGCGGGUUACAUCUCUCCCUACACCCACCAAACGGCAGCGGCGCUGCUUAAUAAUGUCAUAACUUUAAAAUUAUGACAGCAGUGGUAACAAACAAAAACUCUAGAGGCAUCUACAUAAAAUUCCCCACAAGUUUUGUAUACAAUUUAUAAUUAAAUUCCAAUAUCUAAUUAGCCCAAAACAGUCCACAAGAUGAACCCUGUAAUCUGUUUUUCUUUGUCUUUUGGACAGCGACAUACCCAGAUUCAAACAGCGAUAUCUUUUAAAAUAUAAUUCCAAAUCAAGCGCAUAAGUACUCAUUGGAAAGAUAAGACAAAUCCCUACAUGAUUACCAUACUGGUUAACACUAAUUACCCAUGAAAAAUUCCGAGAAACUGCUAAUACCACUGCUGUUCACCCACCUGAAAAAUCUGUUUUUUUGGACAGCAACAUAACCGGAUUCAAACAACGAUAUCUCCUGAAUUAUAACUCCGAAUCGAGCGCAUAAGUACUUGUUGGAAAGAUAACAUAAAGCCCUACAUGAUUCUCAUACUAAUUAACACUAAUUACUCCCGAAAAAUCCCCAGAAACUGCUAAUACUGCUGCUGUUCAUCCCCCUGAAAAAUCUGUUUUUUUGGACAGCCACACCCGGAUUCAAACGGUGAUAACUUUCAAUUUAUAACUCCAAAUUGAGCGCAUAAAUACUCGUUGGAAAGGUAAGGUAAAGUUCUACAUGAUCCUCAAACUGAUUUCCCUUAAUUCCUCACAAAAAACACAGAAACUGCUAGACUACUGCUGUUCACCCACCACCUAAAAUUCUGGACAGCCCCCCCUCUACCCCAAUCGCAAACGCAACCUCUAAUCAAUUAAAUUGCAGCGCAAAUGAACAAGGGAUGAACACAAAAAUCACCUUGGAUUCUCCCCCUUUCCUUCCUCCCUUCUUCCCUCCACCAAAACGAUUGAAGACUCGCACCACAACGACGAUGAUCCGAGCGGCAAGGAUUGGCACCUUGGGAGGAGGGGAUUGAGAGGGGGGCGGCUAGGUUUUGGUGGCUGCAAGAAUUGAGAGAGGAGGAGAUGGGCAGGGGGGCGGCGGCCAAGGGGGAAG